UAUCGCCACCCAUUCACGCUCCAACUCCAUUCCCACUCCAUUCGAACGUUGCCAGCAGCCUCAUCCCUCGAACUCUUCUCCUCCGGUAGAAGGUGCUGUCGCCGCCGGCGGAGACAGACCGUGGGUGCCUUCAUCAUCUGGGAAGCUCUACUAGACCCUCUUCGCAUCGUUCCUCCUCUCCUCGCCGUCGCACGAAGUUCUGAGUUGAGCUCGUGGUGUCGCCGUCGCGAAGGGUUCCUCCCCUCCUUGCCGUGCUUGAUCUGCGCUUUUGCCUCUUAUUUCCAUUUCUCAAAGGUAGUAGUUGCUGCCUGUAUUGGCUUUGAUGUUUGUGCAAAGGAGUUGACGAUUGACCAGCCUUGAAGUUUGGUAAAUGUGGUAAUUCAUAUCUUCAAAAUUUGCUUCAGAGCAAAGCUGAUGCUUUUGAGUAUGCUGAUCAAGUUUUGGAGCGUUGGUAUCCUUCCAUAGAAGAAGGCAACAACAAGGGUAUUGUGGUUCUUGUCACAAGCCAGAAGGAAGGAGCAAUCACCGGUGGCCCGGCUUUUGUCCAAGCUGUUGGAGAAAAGGUUCUUGAUGCUACUGUCUCUGAGAACCCUCCAGGUUGCUUCUCUUAGAGAAGGUGUAUCCUUAGAAACCAAACUUCUGAGAAGGUAAGCUAGCUUGUGUGCUAUUUAUGUAGGAAGGAAGCUGCUUUGCGACAAAGAGAGGUAUGCCAGAAGAAUGGAUAUUAAUCAUAUUAUAUGUGGCAGAAAUAUGAACUGAGGAAAUCACAGCCCUUCGUGGAAUACUCAAUUAUAUUGAGAGACAGAAUUUUAUGGAAUACUCAAUUUUUUUAUUUAUUUAUUGUCACAGGCUGUUCUCAAGGCUGGCAAACAAACACAGGAUGGGAGAGAUGAGGAAAUCACAGCCCUUCGUGUGGAAAUUCAAAGUGCUUUUGUUGGUGGUAAAGCCUCAGAAGGAGUUUUUGUUGGUGCUUUCCUUUCUAUGUCUUCAACAGCAGUGGUCUUGAAGUUUUUGAUGGACAAGAACACUAUUAAUGCCCUUCAUGGACAAGUCACUAUUGGGACCCUUAUUUUGCAGUAUAACGCAUAGAGGGAGAAAAGGGGAAGACGAGAGACUGAGAAACAGGGGAAGAGGGAGUAAGAGAGCACGAGAUGCAGAGGGAAGAGGGGAAGGAGGGAGCAGUGCCGGUGGGUGUCACUGCCACCGUCGCUGCUGUUGCUAUCGAGUAGAAGAGGGAGGGAGGCUGUCGCACUUCUAGCCGCCGCUGCUGAAGCUCCCCUCACCACUGUCAACGUCGGUUAGGGCAGAGGAGAAGAGGAAGAAUAACGGAGAAGAGAGACUGACGGGGAGGGUAAUACCGUUGCUGUUGAUUUGGAGCUGCUACAAGAACGGCGGUUCCUGCUUCUAAUCCCUGUCCUUUUGAUUUUUGGAGCUGCAGUGGAUGGAGCUUGUCAUCGGAGAAAGCAAGCUGCCGCCACCAACUCUCAAUUAAGCUAGGAUCCUUCUCCUUGUUCUGAUUUUAAUUUCCCCAUUUUUGAAACCGUAACACUCUCACCCUUACUCUGAUUAUACUUUGUUUCUCUUUCAUGUGCUUGUUUUAAUCAUGGUUGCCUAUAUUUUUUUUGCUCAACCCCUUUUUGGCUCCUAUUUCCUGCUACAAUUAGGUCGAGUAUUGAAGCUGGUGUUGCCAUGGGACGGUUGAAGCCAUUACUGAUUCUGAUUUUGUUAUCUGGGUACUGGUCUUGUCUUCUCCUUAGGGUUGAUCCAUUUACACGUUUUGUUUUGUCACUGCUGUGGUUGCCAUGUUCUGGUUUUAAUUCUAUUUUAGUUCUUGCUUUGUCUUGAAUCCCUAGAGCUGAAAUUGCUUGUGAUUCUUAUCCAAUUUGAAUCCUCUAUUUUAUUGCAACCAUGGUCAGUGCUGCGAAGGCUAAUAUUGUUUCUGUUCCGGUUGCGUGAGAGUUACCGCUGCUGCCCUGAAACUAAAAGAGAAGAGAGUUGUUACGUUAUAGUAUGCGAUUGCGACAUCGAGUUUGAAGCAGAGAUAGACUGCCUCAAUCGGAUAUACAUUCGGCGGCGGCAUGUUCGAGAUGAAUGAAGUGAAGGGUGACAGUCCGUACGGUGCCCGAACUUAUGCUGGUGAUGAUGGAUCAAGACAACCAACUAAACUUGAGUUGGAGCAAGCAUUUCACCAAGGCAAGAAUGAAGCUCAAGAAAGAAUGAAGCUAUCCAUUAAAUCAGACCAAGAUUGGACAGAACGGGCCAAAUCGGUCCAACCGGACCCAAAGUGGGCCCUUGGCCCAACUAAACUAAACCAAAACCCUAGUUUU
Non-coding RNA from Arachis ipaensis, 2327 nucleotides. The record is from RefSeq and is a predicted model, not a curated record. Lineage: Eukaryota; Viridiplantae; Streptophyta; Magnoliopsida; Fabales; Fabaceae.